Molecule: non-coding RNA, 24 nt
Filed under: Arabidopsis thaliana (thale cress)
Lineage: Eukaryota; Viridiplantae; Streptophyta; Magnoliopsida; Brassicales; Brassicaceae
Source: RNAcentral
AGACAAAUUCACUCCUCUCUCAGC